UCAGACCCAGGGAGGCCAAUAUAAGCACUGUAGUGCUGGGCUUGAGACAUAACUGGGGAAAGGUUCCAGAACCGACGAGAUGUGAUCCGCUACAGUGCUUUAAGGAACGCACGCUCAAUUCCGACAGACGCUCUUAAGCGGCUGAUCUGAAAUACUUCGCCUUUGACACCAAAAGUCACAGGCUUCCCAGGCCCUGGUCCAGGAGAGCAAUGAUAAAAGUGGAUGGAAUUUGGAUUUGAAGACCAGGGGGGAGGGAGGGAGGGAGGUCACACCUCAGGGUGCUGACAAGAGUGGAAAGAUCCGGGGAAGAAGGUUCAACUUUGGGCCUCUUCCUGUGGGCCCUGUCUGAACUUUGUCCUCGGGGCUGACUCGAAAUUUGCUAAUUGAUUAACCCGAAGCUUGGCUCCAGUGCCCGACUUCGUGAAAUCUCUAAGUCGCUCCCUAUAAGGGACUGUCCUGUCUGCUACUUGGCCGGUUCUGCUGCCCUCUGCAGUCGCCCCCACACCCAAGUGAUUCUGAACAUUCCAUUUCUAGUCCAUGCAUGUAGGAACAGAGGGAUUGUGGAGACCGAACAUGAAGUGCUUUCCAAGUUUUACCCAGGAUGCCUUUGGAGCACCAGAAAUCGUCUGAAAGUGUCUCAAAGGUAUAAAGCAAGAAGAUGAAGUCAAUGGAGGGUUGAUAUGGUCAGAAAACGUGGGAAUCAGACUCCUCCCAUAUUACAGGUGAUAUGCAACAGGGGGAAAAAAAAAUAAUUGCACCAGACCACGGCAAACAGAGGGGAAAGUCCCGAGUUUAAGAUGGUCAUACAUUACAAAAGAAAACCCAGGACUCAAAGCAGGAGUCCACCUCUAGCCGAGAUUCAAGCAAGGAGUUCCUGAUCUCUACCCGUGGGCCUUCGAGUUCCCUUUCCCGGCUGAUAACUGAGGGCCUGCGGGGUAUCCAAGCGUUCAAGGCUGAGGGUACACAGCUGUCUGCAGACUUCGAAUCUGAAAGAACCGAAACUAGGCUACAUGAAGUCGGGCAGGGGAUCAGCUGGAGUUUAAGUACGGAAUGAAAACAGAAUGUGAGCCAUUACAAUUCUUCAGACUGUUGUUCCUGGAAGCCCGCCAGCCCAAGCUGCUCUAUUUCAGAGCAGGAAGGUUCACCUGGAACAGCAGCUGAGGGAGGUCCAGAGGCCGGGUGGGAAGACUGUAAGAUGACCAGGAUCCACAGCAGCCUUACAGCUGUGGUUGCUCAAGCUCUGAAUGCAUACAUGGCCAUACAUGUAAUUUUUGAAAUUGCCUACUUUGGGUGUGUCAUCUCUACUCAUAGUGAAAUACUCAUGCUUGGCUGCUUCGGGAUGCAUACGGAGAAUUGGAUUAUUUGCUGAGGGUUAAGGAAAUUACUAGAAGCCCUGGGAGACCACAGCUGAGGAGAUGAGGAAUGCUGGGUUUCCACUCUCCACACAGACAAGUGUGCGAUGGAGGAGACCAGAAGGAAGCGUCAAGGUGCCUGGAAUCAAAUUGUGACCUGUCAUUCUCGGAGAUGAGUGAUAUCCCUUUAAGAAGAGGCUCUUCCUUGCCAAAAAAAAGAAAAAAAAAAAAAAAAAAAAAGAAAAAAAAAAAAAAAAAAAAAGAGAAGAGCUGAUGCCAAUCCUGGUCACUAUGUAUGGUUUUGUUCUUGACAUUUGAAAAGAACCAGAGAAGAGCUUUAAAGGUUCAUCCACAAGCGGAUGGUGCGUGGGCAGUCUUAAGACCCCAACAGCUGGUGUGCUGGGAUGGGUAACUUGUCUCCCUGAAGGCAAAGGAUCCAGAAGGUCAACUGCGGACAGCGAGUCUAGUCUUAAGCCUUUGCAUAAAUACGGAACGACACACAGAAACUCUGUUCCCCAAUGUGGGGUCAUUUUCGGCUGCAUCCUAUCUAAAAUGAGGUGGAGAUGACUUGAUGUGGGGGAAACUGGGGGAGCCCCAAGUCCUGGAGAGAUGUAGGAGAGCCUGCCCCGUGAGACUCGGGACUGGGAAACAGGUGAGGAGUCCUCACUUGUAGCAUAGGGACCAUCUGCCUCCUAGGGUUCCCCAGGGGAUGAGCUACACAAAGUUGGCAGAACUCCUGCCCUGUUGGCUGAGAUCUAGGAAGACCUUUGAUACA
Peromyscus maniculatus bairdii (prairie deer mouse) is the source of this 2127-nucleotide non-coding RNA. NCBI's taxonomy places the organism in Eukaryota, Metazoa, Chordata, Mammalia, Rodentia, Cricetidae. The record is from RefSeq and is a predicted model, not a curated record.